RNAcentral lists this unclassified non-coding RNA (4311 nucleotides) under Limulus polyphemus (Atlantic horseshoe crab). RNAcentral's name for it is "kinesin heavy chain-like, transcript variant X3". The record is from RNAcentral. Lineage: Eukaryota; Metazoa; Arthropoda; Merostomata; Xiphosura; Limulidae.
UCUUCAGAACAAAGUGUAUAUCUAUGACAAAGUUUUCAAACCCAAUGCCACCCAAGAAAAAGUUUAUAAUGAAGCUGCAAAAGCCAUUGUUAAAGAUGUUCUUAUGGGCUACAAUGGAACAAUAUUUGCUUAUGGACAGACAUCUAGUGGAAAAACACACACGAUGGAGGGUGUGUUGGAGGAUCCAAUCAAACAGGGCGUAAUUCCACGUAUUGUUAAUGAUAUAUUUAAUUACAUUUAUUCCAUGGAUGAAAAUGUGGAGUUCCAUAUUAAGGUAUCUUAUUUUGAAAUAUAUCUUGACAAGGUGAAGGAUCUUUUAGAUGUUACAAAAACUAACUUAUCAGUUCAUGAAGACAAAAACAGAGUUCCUUAUGUCAAGGGGGCAACAGAGAGGUUUGUAACCAGCCCUGAAGAAGUGAUGGAAGUUAUUGAUGAGGGGAAAUCCAACAGACAUAUAGCUGUCACAAACAUGAAUGAACAUAGCUCUAGAAGUCAUAGUGUCUUCCUAAUCAAUGUUAAACAAGAGCACAUGGAGAAUCAGAAGAAACUUAGUGGUAAACUUUACUUGGUGGAUUUAGCUGGAAGUGAAAAAGUGAGUAAAACAGGGGCUGAAGGAAUGGUUUUGGAUGAAGCCAAGAAUAUUAACAAAUCUCUGUCUGCCCUGGGCAAUGUUAUCUCAGCACUAGCUGAUGGAAAUAAAAGUCACAUCCCUUAUCGUGACAGCAAACUCACUCGAAUCCUUCAAGAAAGUUUAGGAGGAAAUUCUCGCACUACAAUAAUUAUUUGCUGUUCUCCUGCCUCUUACAAUGAGACUGAGACCAAGUCAACACUUGAUUUUGGUAGAAGAGCUAAAACUAUCAAGAAUACUGUAAUAAUAAAUGAGGAAUUAACAGCUGAGGAAUGGAAGCGUCGCUACGAAAAAGAGAAAGAUAGGAAUGCUAAGCUAAAGAUUCAGCUGGAACGAGUGGAAGCAGAACUCAAUCGUUGGAGAAAUGGAGAGACAGUACCUCAGGAUGAACAACUUACUAGCAAGGAGUUGGAAACCAGUACUCUGAGUCUCUCUGAGUCUUCUUCUGUGGUCAGCUUACCUAACUUAGCACCUCUGACAUCUGCUGAACCAAUGACCAGUGAGGAGAGAGCCAAGUUUAUGGAGGAGAGAGCUCGCCUAUAUUCGGAUAUGGAUGAAAAAGAUGAUGAAAUUGAUCGUCAGAGUCAGUUAAUUGAAUCCUUCAAAGAACAGAUGCUAGAGCAAGGAGAGUUAAUCAUGUCCACUCGUCGAGAUUAUGAGAACCUACAGCAAGAGAUGAACAAGAUCCAGCAGGAAAAUGAAUCCGCUAAGGAGGAGGUGAAAGAAGUGCUUCAGGCACUGGAGGAGCUGGCUGUAAACUAUGAUCAAAAGUCACAAGAAGUGGAAACAAAAAGCAGAGAUUGUGAUACUCUUGCUGAAGAAAUGAAUGUAAAGUUGUCUGAGCUGAGUACCUGUCAGAAUGAACUACAACAGCAAAAGGAACAAAGUACUCACCACCGUAAAAGGGUUAUAGAAUUGUUAACCAAUUUGAUGAAAGAUCUUGGUGAGAUAGGAUCAGUUGUUGGAGGAAAUGGUGCUGAGAUGAAACUUUCAACAGAUGUAAGUGGAAAAAUUGAAGAAGAAUUUACUGUUGCUCGCUUGUAUGUCAGCAAAAUGAAGUCUGAAGUAAAGGCGUUAACUCAGCGUUGUGGCCAGUUGGAAACCUUCCAGUUUGAAAGUAACAAAAAGGUUGAAGAAAAUGAGAAAGAGCUUGCCGAAUGUCGGUUGCUAAUUAGUCAGUAUGAGGCCAAAGUGAAGUCCCUUCAGGAAUCUAUGCGGGAUGUGGAAAGUAAGAGGCGGACCUUAGAGGAAGCUGUAGAUCAGAUGAAUGAAGAAUGUGCUAAGCUGAAAGCAGCUGAAGAAAUGCAUAUUGUAACAUCCAUGGAAAAGGAAAAGGAGAAAGACAGUGCUGAAAAAAUGAAAAUUGCUUUAGAGCAACAAAUAGAAAAACACAGAGAGUCACAUCAGAAACAGCUUUCCACACUAAGAAAUGAAUUGUCAGAAAAACAAGAUCAAAUUAGUGAAUUAAAAGAUAUGAACCAGAAGCUCUCAUUAGCACAAGAACAGCUGCAAAAAGAGUAUGAGAAGUUGAAAAUGGAGGAGCAAGACAAAAAUAGAAAACUUCAGGAACUAACUUUACUGAAUGAUCGUCAGGACCAAGCUCGCCAAGAUUUAAAAGGACUGGAAGAGACAGUGGCAAAAGAACUCCAGACUCUUCACAACUUAAGGAGGUUAUUCGUUCAGGAUUUGCAGAGUCGGGUAAAGAAAUCUGUUGCUGGUGAAGAGAGUGAAGAUGCAGGUGGCAGUCCUGCACAAAAGCAGAAAAUUGCUUUUUUGGAGAAUAAUUUAGAUCAGUUGACUAAAGUCCAUAAGCAGCUUGUCCGUGAUAAUGCUGAUCUGCGAUGUGAACUACCUAAAUUGGAGAAACGGUUGCGUGCGACCAUGGAGAGGGUCAAGUGUCUGGAGACAGCACUGAAAGAUGCUAAGGAGAGUGCUAUGAAAGACAGAAAGAGAUAUAUAAGUGAAGUAGAUAGAAUCAAAGAGGCAGUGAGACAGAAACAUUUUGCCAAAAGAGGACAUGUCGCUCAAAUUGCUAAGCCGAUUCGAGCUGGGCAUCAUCCUGGAAUGUCCAGUGGGCAAGGAAUAAGAGGAGGAGGAGGGAUGGCCAUGGAAAAAAUGAAAACCAGUGACUGAGGUAAAGAAGAAAGCUUCUACUACUCCCAAGACCCCCAGUAUUUCAAAGUCACAAGAACAAGAGAUGCAGUAACAACUUUUCCAUCUGUGUAUACUAGGUGGGUAAACUGUGUGUUUUAUUUUCUUGCAAAUAAAGUUCAACAACAUUGAGUCUCGUACACAAGUCUAUAAGAUACACCUGAAGAACAUUAAAUAUAGGACUUGAAACUGUGGGUGGGAAACAGCCACAUCCCAAUGUUUUCAUAAUGGUGAAAUGGUACAAUUUUUCAAGUAAUAGUUUCUUGUUCCGUGCUCUCACAUUUAUCAGAAGUGUAAAUAUUGAAACUUGCAGUGUGUGGAUACACUUGUUAGAUAUACAGGUGGUUUAGGCAUAGAUCUAGUUGAUUGAUUAGUGUUUGAACUGUAUUAAGAAAAAACUUGCAGCUCUUUUGUUUUGUUUGUUUACUCUUAAAGGAGAAUAAACUUAUUUUAUUUCUUGGUUGGCUACUUCAAUUUUAAUUUGUGAAAAUUAACAUUUUUAGCAGUUAUGUAAAGAUGGUAAAAUGAUAGCAGGAAAUUAGUUAAAUUUUUCCACAGUGAUUGAAAAUAAGAAAAUGCAUUUCUGUUGUAUUGGUUCAGAAAAUUAUAACUAGAAGUAAUAGUUUAAAGUUUUUACUGUUGUGAUACUGAAUUAUUAUCAAUACUAUCCUUAAAUAGUUGAUGAGUAUUGUUACAUUUGUGUAUAUACAUUUUAAAGUGGUCUUUUUUUGUGUAGCAUAUAUUGAUGCAGAAUAUUGAGUAAACCAGUUUUAAUUAAUCUGUAUCACAAGGAAAUAUUUAAUUUGUAGUUUUCCAAAAGGCAGAAGUUAUGAAUAAUUAAGGUUUUUAUGAAACCAUGAAUGAAAAUAUUUUGUCUGGUACUAGAGUGGUGAUCAAAAGGCAAAUACCCAUAAUUGUUUUUUAUUUUAUUACCUUUCUUUGUUUAUGCAAGUGUUUGUUCAGUUUUUGACUUUCCUGAAAUUAUAAAUAUUUAAAUAAUAGUGAUACUGUCUUUUGUAAAAUUGUGUCUUUUCACAACACAUCUUUACUCUAAGUAGUUUAAUAAUUUUUACAAAUAUUAGAGGUAGAACUUGUAGUGGUUCAGACACAGAUAAAAAUGUCAUUAACUGGGAAACUUUGAAUAACUUCUAUUAUUUGGUUAAUUUGUGGCAAAGACAUAUUAAGCAACAGAAUCAAAAUAAUUUUUAUGUGGCAGUAGGUAAUAUACUGUAAUUGUGGUUACAAAGUUAGUAGUUGCAACUGACUUGACAGGUUAAUGAUUUGGGCUGUUAUUUAAUUGGCAUAUGUCAUGGGAUUGACAUAUCUGCUUGCAGUUUCAGUUUAAGUUGAGUGGAACCAAAAUCUGGUGUGUAUAGAAAAUGGGUGAAAAUACAUUUUAUAUUGAUGUAAAUGAAUAGCAUGUGUGUGCUCUUUUUCCCUUUGGGUGAAUAAAUGAGAUUUACAAAUCUUUUUUAAGUUGUUCAUUUGUAUGUGAUUGUCAAAGAAUAUAAUAAAGAUUAAUUUUUUGUAAA